Molecule: unclassified non-coding RNA, 4952 nt
Filed under: Apis florea (little honeybee)
Lineage: Eukaryota; Metazoa; Arthropoda; Insecta; Hymenoptera; Apidae
Description: zinc finger protein 236, transcript variant X2
Source: RNAcentral
UAACACACUCCUUCUUUCUUUCACACUCUUUCACGUUUCUUUAUUGACGUUGGUGAAUGUUAAUGACACCUAUCGCUGAAAUUAACCUCUUACGUCAUAAAAGUAUAGGUUAAGUUCAUUUUUGGCAACAAACUGAAUUAUGCUUUUUUGAAAAGAAAUUCAAAUAUUUGAAUUAUGUCAAAACUUUUACAAAAUAUAUAACAUGAUGAGAGAUCUUUGUAAAUGUGCUUAGUGCUUUUGAAUAUUAUUGUCGUUUUUUUCGUUGUUGUGCAAUUAUAUGCAAAGAAUUAUUUUCUUUGUGAAUCAUAUCUCAUUUUAGAUGAUACAAAAAAUGUUAACACGACACAAUGUAGUUACAGAAACUCCACAUGUGGAAACAAUACCUAUAAAUCUUGUUGCUACUGAAGAUGGUAGAACGCUUUUGGCAGUAACUGAACAUAAAGAUGGUAUGUUGGAAAUUGUUGCAACUCCAGUUAUGCUUGUUGGACAAAAUGAAACGACGUCGUCAUUGGUCGAUGUAAAAAAUCUAAAUGGGAAUUUAAUAUUACAUUCGCCUGUUUUUCAAAUAAAUGUUGAAAAUAUUGUCAAUGACUCAGAAUUUCAGCAGGUAUCGCAAAAUUUUGAGGGCAAUUCUGAUAAUAUUGAUAAAGUAAAAUUACAAUUAUACAAAGAAGCAAAAGACAAAAAAGUAAUUUCUCAGGAAUAUCAGUCUUCUAUGGAUGAUUCGUUAGCUGAUAAAAAAGAGGAAAAGAUUUGUAAACAAAAUACAGCGAAUGUAACUGUAAAAAAGCACAAUCUUGGAAGGCCUAAGAAAAACAAAAUAAAUUUAGAAAAUUCGGAAAGUUUAACAUGCGAAAUUUGUCAUCAAAAAUUUGUUAAACAAACAUUGUAUCGAAAACAUAUGGAAAAUCAUGCAGAAGAGAAACCACAUCGAUGUCCAAAAUGUUCUGCAUCAUUCAAUGUACCGUCAAAUUUUACUUUACACAUGGCAACGCAUAAUACAGGUGAACCAAAAUGUCCAGAAUGCGGGAAAAAAUUUGCAAGAAUGGCCAGUUUGAAAUCUCAUAUGUUGUUACAUGAAAAAGAAGAAAAUUUAUUCUGUACAGAAUGUGAAGAUGCUUUCUCGACGAAAACUCAAUUGGAUGCACAUUUAAAACUUCAUGGGGAAAAAUGGGCAACGGAGGAAAUACGAAAAUGUAAAUUAUGUAAUAAACAAUUCAGUCAACCAGCUUUGUAUAGGCUUCAUAUUCGUGAACAUUAUAGGUUGCAGACAAAAGUAGUGAAACAAACGAAAAAAGGAACAAAGCACAAAACGAUGUAUAAGUGUACCAUAUGUUUGAAAUCUUUUCAAAAACCAAGUCAAUUAAUGCGGCAUAUUAGAGUGCACACUGGUGAGAAACCCUUUAAGUGUACAGUGUGUGGUCGUGCAUUCACGCAAAAAAGUUCAUUGCAAAUUCAUACAUGGCAACAUAAUGGUAUUCGACCUCAUGCUUGUGAAUUUUGUAAUGCCAAAUUUAGUCAAAAAGGUAAUUUAAACGCCCAUAUAAUGAGAGUUCAUAAUAUCCCAGAAGGAGAACCUAUAUAUAAGUGUAAUUAUUGUUCAUGUGUAUUUAAAAAGGUCGGUAGUUUAAAUAGUCAUAUGAAACGUAUGCACACCGAUAUAAAUGAGGGAAAUGUGAACGAUGUUGCUGUUAACGAUGAUACUUUCCCGACCGAUACUAUGGAGUCCGAUAUACGUGCGACCGUGGAUAACGUUAUCACACAAUUGGCAUCUUUGGAAUCUGACGCGCAUCAAACUACGGAAUCAUCAAAUUUCCAAUCUUGUUUAUUAUCAGAAAAUGUGUCGAAGAAAGAUAUACUGCAACAAGCAUUAAAAAACAGUGGUCUAUCCAGUAAAAAUAAAAUUAUUUCUGAAGGUGUAUCGGAAGCAAAAAAAUUUGGAGCUCGUGUUAAUUUUGUUACAUUAUUGGAUCGAGCACCUGACGGUGAUACGAGAAAAUAUUUGACGAUAAAACAACGAUGCGUAGGAAAUGUAAGAUGGUACGCGUGUACUUUUUGUCACAAAGAAUUCAAGAAACCAUCAGAUCUGAUUCGUCAUUUGCGUGUACAUACACAAGAAAAACCUUUUAAGUGUACCUAUUGUUAUCGUUCGUUCGCUUUGAAAUCUACUAUGAUAGCACACGAACGCACACAUUCAAGUGUCAAAAGAUACGUUUGUAAUUCUUGCGACAAAACAUUCGUCUCUCAUGGUAGUUUAAUUGCCCAUACUAGAUUACACGUAAAAUCUGAUAAUAACAAGGAUUCCAAUAUGCAUAUUACAAUUGAUACUGAUAUUCAUUCUACUAAUCAAUCGAAAACUCAAAUAAAAAAUAAAUCAAAAUUAUCACAAGAAGCAGAAACUCUAGUACCUCAAGUAAUUUUACAAGAACCGUUGCUAAUUAAUGACGUGGGAAACAAAAUUUGUGUAGCGCAAAUAUCUUCAAAAGAAAAACAUGACGGAACUAUCGAUCAAUCCAGACCUCACAAGUGUUGGAUUUGUCAGGCAGCAUUCAGAAAAAUUAGUCAUUUGAAGCAGCAUCAUCGUCGUCAUACGGGAGAACGUCCGUAUAAGUGCACAAAAUGCGAUAGGAGAUUUACAUCGAAUAGCGUUUUAAAAUCGCAUUUGCAUACUCAUGAGGAUUCGAGACCAUAUGGUUGUUCAAUUUGUAAUGCGAAAUUUUCAACACAAAGCAGUAUGAAAAGACACAUGGUUACUCACAGUAAUAAAAGACCGUUCAUGUGUCCAUAUUGUCAUAAAACUUUUAAAACUUACGUCAAUUGUCGGAAACAUAUGAAAAUACAUAAACAUGAAUUGGUACAACGGCAACUAGAACAACAGAAAAUCAGAAUUCAAGAACAAUCUUCAGAUAAAUUGAAUUUAAAGGAAAAUUCUAAACAAGAAACGGCUCUCGAAUCGUCUUGUUCCUCUUCUGUCUCUAUCACAACUAUUAAUUCCACCAUUACCACCAAUAUUGCUACCACCACUACUACUCCCGCUAUCGUCACAACAUCCUCUUCUACAUUUUCAGAUAAUCUUGUACUUUCUCGACUUGGAUCAGUUGAAUUAUCAUUUCAAUCGCAACUUGGAUCAGAGUUUUCACAAACUUUUCCUGAGUUUCAAAACAUGACUGAAGAAAAAGAAAAAGUAAGAGCCGUUUUACCAACAAAUUGCGAUGCUACAACAUUUAUUAAUCAGAACAUAUCGGGAAUAGCUGUAACGAGUCUUGAAAAUUCACAGAUAUUACACGCCGAUGAAGCUGGUUCGGUUACGUUGCCGAUUUAUUCCGGCGACCAGACACUUACACCAGAAAGCAUACGGGAAAUAGAAGAAACAUUAAAUCAACAAUUUUUUAAUAUAGGAAUGAAUCUUAACCUAGGGAGUAAUCAGUCGAGACAUUCGAACAAUACAAAUACGAAUGAUUUCGAUCAUAUGAAAGAACAACAGCCUGUAAUGAAUGUAAUAUAUGAAAAUAAUAAUAACGAUAAUAGUAAUAGUAAUGUAGAAACAUCUAGAGAAAAUGUUUUUUCGUCGCAAUUAGAUUCAUUUGAGAUGGAUCAUAUUACUUUGCAAUCGGACGCUGAAAUCGACAUCGGUUUAGAUACAAGAAAUUCAACUAAUAUGGCGAGUAUAUUGCCUAGAAAUGGGAAAGAUGAACAUGAACUUUCUGUUUGUGUUACAACAUCAGAUAAUACAAACGUUGAACAAACAGAGAGAUCUGGUAUGCAAGCAGUAGUAUUUGUUUCUCAGCAAAAUUUUCCUAGAAAAGAGGGAAUAGAAGAUAAAUUUGCAAUAGAAGAAACUCAAAAGAGCAAUAUCAUUCAUAAGCAAUGUACAAUUAACCCGAUAUUUUUUACAGAAGAAUUUCGGGAAACAUCGCAAAAUUUCAAGGCUCAGUCAAAUACGCGCAGUUUGUCAUCCGAUGUUACAGGAAUUAAAGUCGCUACGAGUAAAAUAUCUCGUGGGCAAUCUUUAUUACAGUGUCAUAUGUGUAAUCAACAAGGAUUCACGACAAUUGCAUUAAAAGAACAUUUGACAAGCCAUCGUGGAACAAAAGAAUAUCAGUGUACGGAAUGUUCUUCAAAAUUUUACACAAAUGCUGGAUUAAAUAGACAUUCGAAGAUUCAUUUUAUUAAACAAUUAUAUAAAUGUUCAUCAUGUGACAAAUAUUUUAAUGAUAAGAUCGAACUGCAAUCGCAUUCUAAAAUUCAUGAAAUUCCAAUAUGGAAUGCAUCAGGAAUAAAUAGCGCGACAGAAAAUUCAACCCUUUCAUCAGAAAUGCAAUCAGUUGUAAAUGGUCAUUCAUCUUUAAAUAUCAUAAUAGAUACAGAUUCUGCAAUUUCGGAAAAAGUUCUGUUAGAUACGGUAGCAGAAAAAGAAGUAAUGGAUCGAGUGGAACGAAAAUUAUUAUAUACAUGUCAUAUAGAAUAUCUUGGUCGAGGAAAAGGAACGGAAGGAGUAUACGAAUAAGUGUAAAUAUUGUCCGAAAACAUUUCGCAAGCCAAGUGAUCUCACAAGACAUAUACGUACACACACAGGAGAACGACCGUACAAGUGCAAUUACUGUAAUAAAAGUUUCGCUGUAAAAUGUACUUUGGAUUCACAUACGAAAGUUCAUACUGGGAAAAAAACAUUUCGUUGUCACGUAUGCAACAGUUUAUUUGCGACCAAAGGUAGUUUGAAAGUUCAUAUGCGUUUACAUACAGGUUCAAAACCAUUUAAAUGCCCUAUUUGUGAUUCGAGAUUUCGAACAUCCGGUCAUAGAAAAGUGCAUUUAUUGAAGCAUGCACGCGAAUACAAAGAUAAUCCAAAAAGAAAGCAAAAACAUUUAAAAGUUACGGCUAUAGCUGAAGUGGCAGCUAAUCUUGAAAAAUGUGACAAAAAAGAGAAGGAAGUAAAUAACUUUGAUACAAAG